This 253-nucleotide ribosomal RNA is filed under the name uncultured bacterium. RNAcentral's name for it is "partial 16S ribosomal RNA". It matches the Rfam family "Bacterial small subunit ribosomal RNA", at positions 524 to 776 of the family's 1533-position model. The record is from RNAcentral.
UACGGGGGGGGCGAGCGUUGUUCGGAAUUACUGGGCGUAAAGGGCGCGUAGGCGGCCACCUAAGUCAGACGUGAAAUCCCUCGGCUCAACCGGGGAACUGCGUCUGAUACUGGGUGGCUUGAAUCCGGGAGAGGGAUGCGGAAUUCCAGGUGUAGCGGUGAAAUGCGUAGAUAUCGGGAGGAACACCAGUGGCGAAGGCGGCUUCCUGGCCCUGAUCUGACACUGAGGAGCGAAAGCGUGGGGAGCGAUCCGG